AGUACUAGUAUAUACCCCUAGCUUCAGUUUCUUGCGCGCAUAGGAUGUCACAAGACGAAGAUAACAUCUACAAACACGGCCGGAGAAAACCAGUAAUGCAGAUCAUGCAUACUUAUUACCUCUCCGACUCGAUCACAAGAAGAGACGAGGGAACGUAUGGAUUCACUGAUGUUCGUGUGACUUUUGGCGCCGCCGUUUGGAAGCGUGCAUGGCCCCGCAUCCUUGGCCUCCUGCCAUGGAUGAUCUCUAGUUGUGGUGCUGAGGGUCCGGGCCGCCCGGCACCUCCCGCUUGCGGGCGGCGUCGCCUUGCUGCACAUUCCACCUCCCCCGACGAAUGCCGCCCCGCCUGCCACCGCCGGCCGCGGCCCUGGCGAAUGCCGUCCCGUCGCCUGCCCCCACAGGGGCAGGAUAGUAGCCUGCAGGCACGACGCGAGCUCCGGCCGGCGUCGCCGCGAGUGCCGUGCCGACGAUCAGCACGGAUAGGAAGAGCACAAUGCCGAAGCGAGCAGCCAUGGAGAUGAUGAAGAAACGAGAACGUUUGCGAUGAGCGCGACUGACGACGAUGCACCGUGCAGCCACGGACGACGACGUAGCUGUUAUGUCUUCGCAGGACGUGUACCGAGAUGACUCGAGAGAGAGAGAGAGAGAGAGAGAGAGAGAGAGAGAGGGAGAGAGAGAGAGAGAGAGAGAGAGAGAGGAGAGAGAGAGAGAGAGAGAGAGAGAGAGAGAGAGAGAGAGAGAGAGAGAGAGAGAGAGAGAGAGAGAGAGAGAGUGUGUGUGUGUUUGUGUGUGUGUGUGUGUGUGUCUUAUCGUGCCCU
RNAcentral lists this long non-coding RNA (818 nucleotides) under Setaria viridis. RNAcentral's name for it is "long non-coding RNA (SVIR_LNC006079)". Lineage: Eukaryota; Viridiplantae; Streptophyta; Magnoliopsida; Poales; Poaceae. The record is from RNAcentral.